GAGAAUCACAGUCUCAGCGGCUGCCGCUCCUGAGGGGCACGCGUGCUGCCCGGUCUGGAGGGUUCGCUGCAAUCGGUGCUACAGCUUUAGGAACUGUGAUUUACUGCGGAUUUAAAACUCUUUAAACAGCCGACUUCCUGCUGAUGGGUCUGAGGGAAGAGCGGCAGCGACUCGGGCAGGGCCUCGGUGCGGAGGCUGGGAGGAGCGCCUGCUUUUUAGGAAAGGAUGCUUCAGCCUCAGCCUCCCGUCCAUGCUCCUCUCCGGUGUGAGUGCAGAGAAGGUCCUGGGUUCUGUCUGCGGCUUCACUCUGGGGGUCUUGGACCUGGACCCGAGAGAGCCCAGAACCACAGGAACAGCAGAAGGGCCGGAGCGUCGCACAGCAACUGUGGGCCCGCGGUGGCUCUGGAGCCAGUCGGCGUGACUCUGCCAUUAGCUCUGUCCCCUUGCAAGGCUGAUGGUCAGCAUGUGUGAAUCGGCUCUUAAAUGCCAGCACAGGAACUGCUGCCUGACGACUCCUGUGAUUGGACCCAUGGUCGGUUCCCAUGGUGUCCAGGCAUGGCACUCACAGAGGCAUCCUGACAUGGUCCCGCCACAGCGUCCAGGCACCCUCUUCUUUGUGGACAGUCC
RNAcentral lists this long non-coding RNA (627 nucleotides) under Macaca nemestrina (pig-tailed macaque). RNAcentral's name for it is "lncRNA (ENSMNEG00000046105.1)". The record is from RNAcentral. Lineage: Eukaryota; Metazoa; Chordata; Mammalia; Primates; Cercopithecidae.